AGUGAACGCUGGCGGCAGGCCUAACACAUGCAAGUCGAGCGGCAGCGCGGGGGCAACCCUGGCGGCGAGCGGCGGACGGGUGAGGAAUGCAUCGGAAUCUGCCUCGUUGUGGGGGAUAACGUAGGGAAACUUACGCUAAUACCGCAUACGACCGAGAGGUGAAAGUGGGGGACCGCAAGGCCUCACGCGAUGAGAUGAGC
This 200-nucleotide ribosomal RNA is filed under the name uncultured bacterium. RNAcentral's name for it is "partial 16S ribosomal RNA". It matches the Rfam family "Bacterial small subunit ribosomal RNA", at positions 29 to 230 of the family's 1533-position model. The record is from RNAcentral.